UAACAAGGUCUCCGUUGGUGAACCAGCGGAGGGAUCAUUACUGAGUUUACGCUCUAUAACCCUUUGUGAACAUACCUAUAACUGUUGCUUCGGCGGGUAGGGUCUCCGCGACCCUCCCGGCCUCCCGCCUCCGGGCGGGUCGGCGCCCGCCGGAGGAUAACCAAACUCUGAUUUAACGACGUUUCUUCUGAGUGGUACAAGCAAAUAAUCAAAACUUUUAACAACGGAUCUCUUGGUUCUGGCAUCGAUGAAGAACGCAGCGAAAUGCGAUAAGUAAUGUGAAUUGCAGAAUUCAGUGAAUCAUCGAAUCUUUGAACGCACAUUGCGCCCGCCAGCAUUCUGGCGGGCAUGCCUGUUCGAGCGUCAUUUCAACCCUCAAGCUCUGCUUGGUGUUGGGGCCCUACAGCUGAUGUAGGCCCUCAAAGGUAGUGGCGGACCCUCCCGGAGCCUCCUUUGCGUAGUAACUUUACGUCUCGCACUGGGAUCCGGAGGGACUCUUGCCGUAAAACCCCCCAAUUUUCCAAAGGUUGACCUCGGAUCAGGUAGGAAUACCCGCUGAACUUAAGCAUAUCAAU
Molecule: ribosomal RNA, 575 nt
Filed under: Colletotrichum gloeosporioides
Lineage: Eukaryota; Fungi; Ascomycota; Sordariomycetes; Glomerellales; Glomerellaceae
Description: eukaryotic LSU rRNA
Rfam family: 5.8S ribosomal RNA (bases 213-366)
Source: RNAcentral